RNAcentral lists this long non-coding RNA (215 nucleotides) under Lathyrus oleraceus (garden pea). RNAcentral's name for it is "Pisum sativum (pea) long non-coding RNA (PSAT_LNC031080)". Lineage: Eukaryota; Viridiplantae; Streptophyta; Magnoliopsida; Fabales; Fabaceae. The record is from RNAcentral.
AUGGUUGAAAAAAGGUAGUUAGAUUUGAAUCAAGAAAAAUAUGAUUUAACUCAAAUGAGAAAAAAUGAGAUUAAAUGAAAGAAAUACCUAAUUAUUGAAAAAUAUGUCAAUUGAUUCAAAUAAGAGAAAACGUGAUUCAAAUCACAAGCCUUCUGAUUUGAAUCAAGAACAAAAUGUGAUUCAAAUCAAAUGGCCUUGAAUCGGUAGGAGUCUUA